UUGAACUCCCGGACCGUGAGAUCAUGACCCGAGCUGAAGUCGGCCGCUUAACCGACUGGGCCCCCCAGGCCCCCCAGGUCCAUGCCACUUCUAUAAGGAUUUCAACUCUUCAAGUUUAGAGAGUUGUUGCAAGAUCAUUAUCAGUACAUUGGACAGUACCUGGCUGAAUGGGCCAGGGCUCAGCAAUGAUCCUUAUGCAAUUACUUUAACUUUGCCGAAGUGGAUGUUGAAGUUCACAUUUCACAGUGAAGUUCACAGUUGAAGUUCACCACAGCCUUUCUCUUUUCACUGGCAUUUUUCCUGUUUUGCCCCAUUUAAAAGGAAAACGGGUGCCUGGCUGGCUCAGAGCAUGCGACUCUUGAUCUCAGGGUUGUAAGUUGAAGCCCCACUUUAGGUGUAGAGAUUAUUAAAAAAAAAAGAUUUCUUAAUCAAUCAAUCAAUAAAUGGAACACAAAACCCACGACUCUUCCUUUCCUUCUGGCCUUAUUCUGCUUCCUUUCAUUGUUUUUCUUCAUUGUUCUUAUAUUGGGUGAUGGGUCUACUAUUUGCUUUCUAAUUGUGCUGGUUUAACUUGUAUAUAUAUGCUACACAUAUUCUUUUGUGUAUAUAGCAGAUACUAUGUCUUUUCUAGAGAAUAAUCUCUUUGCUUAUAUUCUCCAUGUUCAUUUCUCACUUGCUUCGCCUGCUUUUAACUCCAGUUUUUCCUCUAUUUCUUCAUAAUAUAUGGACUUUCUGUGUAUGUUUCUCUUGACAUCAGUCAGAGGAGGAGUCACGCAGUAUUAUGUUGUGGAGAGAUUAGUAAAGUCAGAAGACAUGCCAUUUGCACAUUGAAGGUGGAUACGCUCAUUUGCCUGGGAUAAUUGUGAGGCUGAAAUUAGAUGUACUCUGUAGAAUGUAAAGAACUGUAUAAAUGUAAGGCGUUAUCACAGUGAUAAUAUAAAGACUUUGACUUACCCACAGUAACACGAGUAGUCCUAACUGGAACAUCAGACUAUGACGUUUUUAGUGAUUGGAAACACUCUCAAAUACCUUGUGUGCCUCUCUCUUGCUUGAGAAUUUUCUUCAUGACUCCUGCUGGGCCUUGGUGAUAUUCCACCUCUGCUGCUCUGUCACUGUAACUAGAAUGUGGGAUGUGGGCACUGGGAGGAAUUGUUGUGACCCUGAGGACUUGCUUCCUUAGCGUUUGCCUUUUCCUGGGCCUUUUUUCACUUCUCCCCCUUUUUCUGUUACUUGCUGCUCCUCUUUGAGCUUCUUGACUCUCAUACCCUAUAGCCCGGCCUUUUAUAUUCCUUAGUCAGUUAGAAUACUCUUCCUCUGACUUGGCUGGCUGAACAGAGUGUCCCCUAAUCUUUGGGCUUUUGAUUCUUUUUUUGUGGUGACUUGAAACAGUUUCUUCUUCCUCUCCCUCCCUUGCCUUCAGAGCAUUUUUUCCCUUUUGUUUUUUUUUUUAACCCCCUCUUCUAAUACCAGAGCUCAUAAAACUUGUCAAUAACCAAGGGAAAUCAAAAAGGCAGAGGUUGUACUUGGGACAUAUUGUAGUUAGGGCACAAUUUCAGGUUCGCCCCAGCUGCAGCGUAGUAGUUACCAGCAGAACGAAGAGGAAACUUGACAGCAGAGGAGAAAAACAGAAAGUUGAUAAGUAGAAGCAGUGAGACCCUGGCAACCACCAUUCUGCCUUUGGUCUUUAUGAAUUUGACUGCUCCAGAUACCUGAUAGAGGUGAAGCCCGACAGUGUUUGUCUUUUUGUGACUGGCUUAUUUCACUUAGCAUAAUGUCUUCCAGGUUCCAUGUUGAAGUGUGUGUCAGACUUCAUUCCUUUUUAUGGCUGAAUAAUAUUCCAUUGCACAUACAUACCACAGUUUAUUCACCCACUGAUGCACAUUUAGCUUGGUUCUCCUUUUUGGCUACGGUGAAUAGUGCUACUCUGAACAUUCAUGCACUCAGAUUUAAGUACCUGUUUUCAGUUCUUUGGGCUGUAUACCUAGGAGUGGAGUUUCUGGGUCAUGGGGCAGUUCCCUUUGUAACUUUUUGGGGAACUGCCAAGCUGUUUUUCACAGUGACUAAACCAUUUUACAUUCCCACCAGCAAUACACAGCGUUCCAGUUUCUCUGUAUUCUUUAUAACGCUUUUCAUAUUUUGGAUGACCCAGCCUAAUGGAUGUGAAGGAAUGUCUUGUGACCUUUAUUUGCAUUCUCCAGUAACUAAUGAUGUUAAAUAGAUUUUCGUGUGCCUGGUGGUCAUUUUUAUAUCUUUGGAAAAAUUUCUGUUUAAGCUUUUGGUUCACUGCAGCAGUUAAGCAGGGUCAUAACCAUGUGCAGAGCCAAGCCCCUCCUAGAGUGUGGGUUCUAUGAUGAAAAAGAGUAAAGAAUCUGUCUGUCUGACCUGUGCUGUGUGAAAAGGCUGAAGUGGUUGGCAUAAAUAAUGUGUAUUGUGGAAAGGUAGAUUUGGCUUUUUAAACAGAGACUUAACUUAGUUUUUUAUGCUCCAUUUCAUUUCACUAAGGUUUGAGGAGGGUUCAUGGUAGAUGUGCUAAAAUGCAGAAGUCUAAGUAAAAGAGAAAAAUUAGAAUCAAAGGAAAAUUAACUAGACUGGGGAGAAGAACAUCAUUGGACAUUGCUAGAUGGAGAGGAAAUGUAUAGCAGUUGGUAUAGGAUUAUGGGUGAUACAAUAUUUUCUUCUUUGUAUAUGACUUCAUUUUUUUAACAUCUAACAUAUAUUGCUUUAGUAAGGAGAAAAUUUUACUAGAGUAUUAAAAUUCUGAACGCAUCUGUCAGAGUUGCUGCUUUAUCCACACUGAUACAUCAUCCAUUCUCAUGGUUUUAUCUGCUAUGGCACUUGUGUUCAACCUGUCCUUCUUCCCUGAAUUUCAGGUGCUCCUGCUGCCCAGUGUGCACCGCCCCCCAUCCUGUCUGAGUCUGGGACCCAGAAGGGCACCUUCCAGCCUGGGCUCCCCAGCCGCACACUUUGCAUGAUUUCUCUCUCUGCCUUUUCUUUUCUGUUCGGCUCAGGGCUCAUUGCUACCGGCACUCAUCCCAGAUGAGCGCCCCCCCCCUCCGCCCCCCGCGCUGGGAUGGGGGUGGGUGCAGGGCCAGGGAUUCCCCUGACUUCUUGCACUCUUUCUGUGCUGACUUGGGAUCCUUCUCUCACUCUUGGGUGGCCUCUACCUGGCUCUGUCAUGCUCACCACUGUGUUUAUGGCACUGUGUCUGUGCGCUUUUAUCCUCCCCUGGAUGAGGUCAUAGACUUCUUCGGUGUUUGUCCCCAUGCCUAGCAGAGUGUAUGGUGCAGAGGUGGCCCAACACCUGGCUAUUAAAUUAAUAAAUCAGGUUUUGGCUAUCAUGAGUGCAAACUGGUGGAUGUGGCCUGGAUCAUACAUGUGGCUGUGUUUGUGUACCUCCCCGUGCUUGGAAACAGGAUAUUUCACAUAAAAAUCCCUACCUCCGUGUUCUGAAAAUACGAGAGUAUCUGGCCCCCUGCAUCAGCAUCCCUCUGCCUUGGCUGUUCACUAACCCCGGUUGUGGUUGUGGCCCCUUCCAUCCCCUUCAUCUCACAGGAGACCUGCUCUACUCGUGUCACCUGCUGUCCCUUUGAGACACUUGGGAUUAGGUGGAAUCCAGAGGAAGGAUGGAUGCCUUAUAACCAGAUCUGUCUGUCUCCUGUCGGUCUUUUGGGAGAAGGUGGGCAGCAGGCAGAGGUUUUGGUUUCUGGUGUAUUUCUGCAGUUCUGUCUUUAUGUGAGGGUGGUUAAGGACAGAGCUUUAAACUUUCGUGUAUACAUACACAAAGUGCUAGUGAGUUGACUUUCCAAAGACAUUAGCAGAGUGACUGUCCUAAUAACACAAGUUCAAAUCAAAUGACAUGUUUAGUUAUGGGAAAGUCUAUCAUUCUUUUUUAUUUUUUUCCUUAAAGAUUUAUUUAUUUUAGAGAGAGAGCGCAAGCAGGGAAAGGACAGAGAGAAAGGGAGACAGAAGACCCGAAGUGAGCUCUGCACUGACAGCAGUGAGCCCUAUGCGGGGCUCGAAUCCAUGAACCGUGAGAUCAUGACCUGAGCAGAAGUCAGACGCUCAACCGACUGAGCCACCCAAGCACCCUGAAAGUUUAUCAUUCUGAAGUUCCUAAAUUCCUUUUUGGAGUUUUUGACGUGUAAUUUGUAUGUCGAUGUAUGGUUUUUGGUUAAAAUAAACAUGUCUUACCUUCA
Long non-coding RNA from Felis catus (domestic cat), 4196 nucleotides. RefSeq lists it as uncharacterized. Lineage: Eukaryota; Metazoa; Chordata; Mammalia; Carnivora; Felidae. The transcript has 2 exons. The record is from RefSeq and is a predicted model, not a curated record.